GCUACCCUACGGGACGCAGCAGUGAGGAAUAUUGGUCAAUGGGAGAGAUCCUGAACCAGCCACGCCGCGUGAGGGAUGAAGGUACAGAGUAUCGUAAACCUCUUUUGUCAGGGAACAAAGGCGGGGACGUGUCCCCGGAUGAGUGUACCUGAAGAAAAAGCAUCGGCUAACUCCGUGCCAGCAGCCGCGGUAAUACGGAGGAUGCGAGCGUUAUCCGGAUUUAUUGGGUUUAAAGGGUGCGCAGGCGGUCUGUUAAGUCAGCGGUCAAAGCCCGGGGCUCAACCCCGGCGAGCCGUUGAAACUGG
RNAcentral lists this ribosomal RNA (305 nucleotides) under uncultured bacterium. RNAcentral's name for it is "bacterial SSU rRNA". It matches the Rfam family "Bacterial small subunit ribosomal RNA", at positions 333 to 636 of the family's 1533-position model. The record is from RNAcentral.